This is an RNA transcript of Symphalangus syndactylus (siamang), 5005 nucleotides long. It is a transcript of the gene named mitogen-activated protein kinase 13, with no coding region annotated. The record is from RefSeq and is a predicted model, not a curated record. Lineage: Eukaryota; Metazoa; Chordata; Mammalia; Primates; Hylobatidae.
CCUCGCGCGGGGGAGGAGCGGGCGGCGCGGGGCGGGCGCAGUGGGGGUCGGGGCGCUGGGAGCCCGUUGGGCCGCGAAAGCAGCCGCCACGCCGGGUUCGCCGAGAUCGGGUGCCCGGGAUGAGCCUCAUCCGGAAAAAGGGCUUCUACAAGCAGGAUGUCAACAAGACCGCCUGGGAGCUGCCCAAGACCUACGUGUCCCCGACGCACAUCGGCAGCGGGGCCUAUGGCGCCGUGUGCUCGGCCAUCGACAAGCGGUCAGGGGAGAAGGUGGCCAUCAAGAAGCUGAGCCGGCCCUUUCAGUCCGAGAUCUUCGCCAAGCGCGCCUACCGGGAGCUGCUGCUGCUGAAGCAUAUGCAGCAUGAGAACGUCAUUGGGCUCCUGGAUGUCUUCACCCCAGCCUCCUCCCUGCGCAACUUCCAUGACUUCUACCUGGUGAUGCCCUUCAUGCAGACAGAUCUGCAGAAGAUCAUGGGGAUGGAGUUCAGUGAGGAGAAGAUCCAGUACCUGGUGUAUCAGAUGCUCAAAGGCCUUAAGUACAUCCACUCGGCUGGGGUCGUGCACAGGGACCUGAAGCCAGGCAAUCUGGCUGUGAACGAGGACUGUGAACUGAAGAUUCUGGAUUUUGGGCUGGCGCGACAUGCAGACGCCGAGAUGACUGGCUACGUGGUGACCCGCUGGUACCGGGCCCCCGAGGUGAUCCUCAGCUGGAUGCACUACAACCAGACGGUGGACAUCUGGUCUGUGGGCUGUAUCAUGGCAGAGAUGCUGACAGGGAAAACUCUGUUCAAGGGGAAAGAUUACCUGGACCAGCUGACCCAGAUCCUGAAAGUGACCGGGGUGCCUGGCACGGAGUUUGUGCAGAAGCUGAACGACAAAGCGGCCAAAUCCUACAUCCAGUCCCUGCCGCAGACCCCCAGGAAGGAUUUCACUCAGCUCUUCCCACGGGCCAGCCCCCAGGCUGCAGACCUGCUGGAGAAGAUGCUGGAGCUAGACGUGGACAAGCGCCUGACAGCCGCGCAGGCCCUCACCCAUCCCUUCUUUGAGCCCUUCCGGGACCCUGAGGAAGAGACGGAGGCCCAGCAGCCGUUUGAUGAUUCCUUAGAACACGAGAAACUCACAGUGGAUGAAUGGAAGCAGCACAUCUACAUGGAGAUUGUGAACUUCAGCCCCAUUGCCCGGAAGGACUCGCGGCGCCGGAGUGGCAUGAAGCUGUAGGGACUCAUCUCGCAUGGCACUGCCAGCCAGACACUGCCCAAGGACCUGUAUUUAUUUGUCACUACCAAACUCAGCCCUUCUUGGAAUACAGCCUUUCAAGCAGAGGACAGAAGGGUCCUUCUCAUGUGGGAAAUGGACCUAGUAGAUGCAGAAUUCAAAGAUGUUGGUUGGGAGAAACUAGCUCUGAUCCUAACAGGCCACGUUAAACUGCCCAUCGGGAGAAUCGCCUGCAGGCGGGGUUUCUCUAUGUUGCUCAGGCUGAUCUUGAACUUCUGGACUCAAGUGAUCCUCCCACUUUGGCCUCCCAAAGUACUGGGAUUAUAGGCAUGAGCCACCCUGCAGGCCCAGACAGCAUUUUUAAGGCCUUGAAACUCUUCUGUAUAAUACUGUAAUGGUGGAUACCUAUUGUGCAUCUGUUACCAUCUGUAGGACUGGAUAACACAGAGUGAACCCUCAAGUAAACUAUGGACUUCAGUUAAUAAUAAUGUAUCAGUAUUGGUUCAUAAAUUGUAACAAUUGUGCCACACUAAUGCAAGAUGUUACUCAUCAGGAAAACUGAGGAGAGAGAAGGGGAGGAAGUACGUGGGAACCUCUGUACUUUCUGCCAACCUAAAACUGCUCUAAAAAAUAAAUAACAGGCCGGGCACAGUAGCUCAUGCCUGUAAUCCCAGCACUAAGGGAGGCUGAGGCGGGCAGAUCACUUGAGGUCAGGAGUUCCAGACCAGCCUGGCCAACAUGGUGAAACCCCAUCUCUACUAAAAAUACAAAAAUUAGCUGGGUGUGAUGGUGCAUGCCUGUAAUCCCAAGCUACUCGGGAGGCUGAGGCAGAAUUGCUUGAACCUGGGAGGCGGAGGUUGCACUGAGUUGAGAUCACACCACUGCACUCCAGCCUGGGUGACAGAGUGAGACUCCAUCUCAAAAAAACAAAACAAAACAAAACAAAAAACAAAUACCCUGAGGCCACAGAGACAUUGGGUCAGAUACCCACAGCUAGGAAGUGGUGGAGUCAGAUUGGAACCCAAGUAGGCUUAAGCACUGUGCCCAGUUUGGAUUCAAGGGUUGCCCAGCCUUCCCUCUUCUCGCCAGUCUCUCUGAGACCCUUACUGCUGACUGUGUGGAUGGUCUCUGUCUUCUGUCCCACAGAAUGGCCCUGCUGUCAAGGAGUUGGGGAGUCCUUGAUUGGGACUGGCUAGUCUUGCCACAGCCCUGGCCUCGCUGGUUACUAAACUGCCCCAGGUUCCCUGAGUCUACAUCCCUCUAAGUCUCCUGAGAAUUCUCACUGCCCCAAGGAAAAAGUCCAGCCUUCCUUCUUUGCCUGGCAUUCAAAACCCCUUGUGUUCUCUCUAAUCUCAUCAGCUCCCACUGCCUCCCCUAGCUAGUCCUUAUGUCAGUGUGGGACACCAGUCCUGGGAUCCACUGUAAGGUUCAUUCUGCAUUCACAGGUUAAAGGUCUUGACAAGUCCUGCAGUAAAGAGAUCCAUUCCUCAUUUAAUCCAGAACUUCCCAGAUGUACUUAACCACAGGACCCAUUUUCUCCCAACAGCAUGACACACAAAGCCUUUUUUGCCCAGUGCAGCCCAGUGCACAGGUCCCGAUAUUGCCUCUCCCCAAGUAGGCUUGGCCUUCUUUUAGUGCCUGUGCAUGGAAGGCCCUCAAUUCUCCUCUCCAUUCUCCUUGGCCUUCAAGGCUCUACCUUAGGCCUCCCUCCAGGCAGCUGUUCUUCAUCAUCCCCCCUGGGCUGCAGGACCUCUGUGGGCAGCAUUUACAGUAUGUGGUUUGGCCUCCCCUUCCCGUUGCCUACUGUGAGCAAAUAUCUGUGCGUGAAUGAAUGAAUAAUGAGUGAAUGUUGUCCCAGGGGCCUGUCGGUCACUUCUUUGCCCCGACCAGGCCAAUGUCAUAUGGAAGGUGGCAGAGAGCACAGCAGGAAGCAGAAGUGGGUGGCCCUGGGCUGUACCUUUGAGCUGCUCUCCCGAAAAUCUCUGUUCUUUCAGACUCCCAGACCGCCCCCCCCAUCAUCCCUUGGUGUCCUCCUAGGCCUUCCCCACUCCGGAAUUAAACCUCAGCCCCCUCCCACAGAGUUUUCUCAAACCUGUGAAGUUUCUUCAAAAGGUGGUGGAGGUACUCAGCAGUGCAAGGUGGGGGGUGGAGGGGUUGGGGAGUAGAGGGAGUGGGGGUCCCAUGGGUUUGGGUCUUGCCCAGUGGGCACAUGGCCUGUGUAAUAGGAAACAAGUCCAUUCUCCUGCUGUUUGGGGGCAGAGGAGCUGGCGGGGCGGGGGAGGGGGAGAUGUGGGGUCAGGUAUUCUUGGUGGUUGGGCUUCAUUCUGUGGCUGAUGGGGUGGCUUAAAAGAUCUUAACAGAGAGAGAUCAGGAAGCCAGACUGCAAGGUGGGGGACAUUUCCUAAGAGCAAGUGUACCCUCUAUUCCCUCUUUUGAGGAACAAAGAGUAUCUUUGCUGGGGCCCAAGUCAUCCAUGAGAACAGACAGCAGCGGUGUCCCAGGGCAGGGCUUGCCUGGCAUGGAUUGGGGUGGCACUGCUCCCAGUGAGGGGCAGCACAAGGGGAGACAGAAAUGGAGGAACAGCUCCGUAAAGGUGAGCCCAGUGUGCACCGGUGCCCAGAGCUGCCUGAUGGAGGAAGAGCUCCGUAAGGGCGAGCCCAGUGUGCAUGGGUGCCCUGAGCUGCCUGCGUGAGGCUGGAGGCUAGUUUGGAUGAGGGCAUGGCUCAACUUUCACUUGGCACAUUGAAAUAGCUUUUGCUGUCUGCUAGGGUGUGGAAAACUGUUUUUCCAUGGCCCCAAGCAGUGCUAUAGCCACAGCUGAGGAGGGAGGAAUCUCUCCCUGCCUCUCCUCCCAACUCUUGGCUUUUGCUUCCUUAAAUUUGGUUGAAACAAUUCCCUAAGAUCUAAUGCUGGGAGGCUCCCCUUCCUUCAUUACACAGUGAACUCAGGUGCUCUAUCUGCAUUCUCCCUAAAUCCUCCUGAGCUUUUAGGUAAGAGGCCAGUGAUUUCACAAUCGGCAGCAGAGGCCUAAGGCCAUUCCAUCAAACUGAAGAUGGCAGCAAGUUGUCCUCACUUCUUCAUUGAGCACCUAUGGGCGUGUACUGGAGCAAGGAUGGUGCCAGGGAUUCUCCUGCUCUGGUUCCUCCUGCAGGGUCCCUGCUCAGCUGGGCAGCUGCCCUCACUCUGGGCGGGUGGCAUGUGAAUGUCAACAGGGCCCCUCUCAGUCAGGGCUCUUGGCCAUUUUUUGUGCCAUGGAUCGCUUCUCAAAAUCAUAUUUUCUUUUCUUUUCUUUUGAGAUGGAGUCUCACUCCAUUGCCCAGGCUGGAGUGCAGUGGUGCAAUCAGCUCACUGCAGCCUCGACCUCCCUGGGUUCAGGUGAUCCUCCCACCUCAGCCUCCCAAGUAGCUGGGACUAUAGGCAUGCACCACCAUGCCCGGCUAAUUUCAGAAUAAUAUUUUCAUACACAUAAACUAUGUAGGAUUACAAAGUAAGCUAGUUAUAUUUAUAUACAGUUGUCAAAAUAUUUUUAAAAUAAUAUAAUGUGGUACUAUGUGCAUAGGUUUCUUUAUUAACAUAUUUGAAUAACAAGAUCAAGGGGUAGGCCUAUUAAACAAUGGUAAAUUGAAGUAGAGAUGAGUGUAAACAAUAUUUUAAGAUACCUGUGGCAAACUAAAGGGAUAUGAAAAACUCUGUGAUUUCUAUUGGCGCUGCUGAUACAACUGCACUUUGCUACCUUUGUUCAUAACCAAGGAAAUAGAAAUGACUGAAAAUAAAGUUGUAUUCUAUUCCAA